Molecule: long non-coding RNA, 1996 nt
Organism: Oncorhynchus tshawytscha (Chinook salmon)
Lineage: Eukaryota; Metazoa; Chordata; Actinopteri; Salmoniformes; Salmonidae
Exons: 6
Source: RefSeq, a predicted model, not a curated record
CAAAUGCCGACCGUAUUAUCUCCCAAGAGAAUUCUCCUCUGUUAAUGUCACAGCUGUGUAUAUCCCCCCUCAAGCCAUUACCAUGGCCCUCGAUGAACUUCCCUGGACUUUAUGCAAACUGGAUACCAUAUAUCCUAUGGCUGCAUUUAUUGUAGCGGCGGACUUUAACAAAGCAAAUUUGAGAACAAGGCUACCUACAUUCUAGCAGCAAACUCUGAAUCACUGCUACUCUUUCUUCCGCGAUGCAUACAAGGCCCUCCCCCACCCUCCUUUCGGCAAAUCUGACCAUGACUCCAAUUUGUUCCUUCCUUAGGCAUAAAAUCAAACAGGAUGUACCCGUGUUAAGUAAUAUUCAAUGCUGGUCUGACCAAUCGGAAUCAAUAAGACAUUUAAACAUGUUAACCCUCGCAAGGCUGCCAGCCCAGAAAGCAUCCCUAGUCGCGUCCUCCGAUCAUGCUCAGACCAGCUGGCUGGUAUGUUUACGUAAAUAUUCCAUCUCUCCCUGUCCCAGUCUGCUGUCUCCACAUGCUUAAAGAUGGCCACAAUUGUUCCUGUACCCAAGAAGGCAAAGGAAGGGUUUCAAGUUGGUGAUACUGGACGAGGCCGAUGCUAUGACCCGGGAUGCACAGAAUGCAUUGCGGCGAGUCAUUGAGAAGUACACAGAGAACACGCAUUCUGCCUGACCUAUAACUCCAGAUGCACCAGGUUCCGUCCUGUCUCAGGACCAGAUGAUCCCCAGGCUGGAGUAUGUUAUCCAACAGGAGAGUCACAGGCAGCAGAGUACUGGAACGAAAGGCGGCCAAAUGAGGUGUUGGCUUUAGGGAUGAUCAGUGAGAUACACCUGCUGGAGCGCGUGCUACGGAUGGGUGUUGCCAUCGUGACCAGUGAACUGAUAUAACUCCAGAUGGAAUAAAAGCUAUUGUGACCCUAUCAUCGGGAGACAUGAGAAGAUCACUCAACGUACUGCAGAUGGGUUUGCUUAUCAAGUUGGCAGAUAUUGAGUACCGGCUGGCCUCGGGACUCAAUGAGAAGACCCAGUUGAGCUCGAUGAGAGAGAGAUUUGGGUCAAUGAUGCCACCCAGACCAGCGGUCCCCAAACAGUCACAACCAUCUAGUACAGUGCUUCCCAAACUGUGCCCCCCCAAAUAUAUAUUUUUUAUUUUUUUAAGGAACUCGGUGCACCUUUCAACUUACUCUUGAAAGUUGUAAUAGUAGAACGCACAAGAUGUAAUUUCAAAAAUGGGUAGUGCAUCAUCAGUUUUCCUCUUGUUAUUUCAGUCAUUGCAUACCUUAGAGCUGUUUAUAACUUUUCAGAAAUGUCCAUGUCAGCUAAUGUUUUUUUAGCCCAUAGAUUUUGUUGUAAUGUUUGAGACUCAAAUAACAUAAAUACACAUUAGACAUGGCAACAUUUUAUAGAAUUCCAAGAAAAUGAUUGAAAACGGCAACAUUUUCUCUGCACCCCUUCACAAAAUGUUUGAAUUGCAGGAAAAAAUCUUUAAACUUGCCACAUUUUCUCUCCAACAAGAGGGGUGUGAACAGUUUGUGUCAUGAACAGUGCUUGUGCCCAAAGAACUAGUCGUGGCGCAAACGCGGGAGGGGGCGAAUGCUCCCCAUUGCUGGAAGGGGGGCCUGAGUGAAAAAGUUUAGAAACCCCUGAUCUAAUACACAUUGGUCGCCUACCAAGUUCUUGGAGAGCUACGGGGUGUGCAUGAUUUUGUUCCAGCCCAUCUUUAACACACCUGAUGCAAUUAAUACAUUGCUGGUCGAGACCAUGGUUACUGGUUACCAUGGUUAUGAGUCAGGUGUGCUAGUGUUGGGCUGGGACAAAAGGCCUGCGUACCCUGUUCACUUAAAUAUAACAUUUAUCAAUGAAAGCGACAGGGGAGAGAACUCUUGAGACUAACAUCAUAAAGACACACUUGUGUUGUCUCCGUUUGCUCAAUAUUCCUUUAUGUCCAUUAAGUUGAAUUUGUUUAAUAAAAUUAUAAUUUGUGUA